RNAcentral lists this ribosomal RNA (433 nucleotides) under uncultured bacterium. RNAcentral describes it as "bacterial SSU rRNA". It matches the Rfam family "Bacterial small subunit ribosomal RNA", at positions 29 to 506 of the family's 1533-position model. The record is from RNAcentral.
GCGAACGCUGGCGGCAGGCCUAACACAUGCAAGUCGAGCGGGCACCGCAAGGUGUCAGCGGCAGACGGGAGAGUAACACGUGGGAACGUGCCCUUCGGUUCGGAAUAACUCGGGGAAACCCGAGCUAAUACCGAAUACGCCCUUACGGGGAAAGAUUUAUCGCCGAUGGAGCGGCCCGCGUCUGAUUAGCUAGUUGGUGAGGUAACGGCUCACCAAGGCGACGAUCAGUAGCUGGUCUGAGAGGAUGAUCAGCCUCACUGGGACUGAGACACGGCCCAGACUCCUACGGGAGGCAGCAGUGGGGAAUAUUGGACAAUGGGCGCAAGCCUGAUCCAGCCAUGCCGCGUGGAUGAUGAAGGCCUUAGGGUUGUAAAGUCCUUUUAACGGGGAAGAUAAUGACGGUACCCGUAGAAUAAGCCCCGGCUAACUUCGU